RNAcentral lists this ribosomal RNA (529 nucleotides) under uncultured bacterium. RNAcentral's name for it is "bacterial SSU rRNA". It matches the Rfam family "Bacterial small subunit ribosomal RNA", at positions 980 to 1509 of the family's 1533-position model. The record is from RNAcentral.
CUUGACAUCCAGCGAACUUUCCAGAGAUGGAUUGGUGCCUUCGGGAACGCUGAGACAGGUGCUGCAUGGCUGUCGUCAGCUCGUGUUGUGAAGUGUUGGGUUAAGUCCCGCAACGAGCGCAACCCUUAUCCUUUGUUGCCAGCGAUUCGGUCGGGAACUCAAAGGAGACUGCCGGUGAUAAACCGGAGGAAGGUGGGGAUGACGUCAAGUCAUCAUGGCCCUUACGAGUAGGGCUACACACGUGCUACAAUGGCGCAUACAAAGAGAAGCGACCUCGCGAGAGCAAGCGGACCUCAUAAAGUGCGUCGUAGUCCGGAUCGGAGUCUGCAACUCGACUCCGUGAAGUCGGAAUCGCUAGUAAUCGUGGAUCAGAAUGCCACGGUGAAUACGUUCCCGGGCCUUGUACACACCGCCCGUCACACCAUGGGAGUGGGUUGCAAAAGAAGUAGGUAGCUUAACCUUCGGGAGGGCGCUUACCACUUUGUGAUUCAUGACUGGGGUGAAGUCGUAACAAGGUAAGCGUAGCGAG